RNAcentral lists this transfer RNA (77 nucleotides) under delta proteobacterium ML8_D. Its description in RNAcentral is "tRNA-Arg". It matches the Rfam family "tRNA". From Rfam's summary of the family: Transfer RNA (tRNA) molecules are approximately 80 nucleotides in length. Their secondary structure includes four short double-helical elements and three loops (D, anti-codon, and T loops). The record is from RNAcentral. RNAcentral also lists the same sequence under 10 other names. Lineage: Bacteria; Deltaproteobacteria.
GCGCCCGUAGCUCAGCUGGAUAGAGCGCCGGACUUCGAAUCCGUAGGCCGGGGGUUCGAAUCCCUCCGGGCGUACCA